Pelobates cultripes (western spadefoot toad) is the source of this 144-nucleotide non-coding RNA. Lineage: Eukaryota; Metazoa; Chordata; Amphibia; Anura; Pelobatidae. The record is from the annotation of a GenBank genome assembly.
GUGUGUGUGUGUGUGUGUGUGUGUGUGUGUGUAUAAUGCAGUGUGUGUGUAUACAAUGCACACAAAUACACACACUGCAUUAUAUACACACACUGCAUUAUAUACACACACAGCAUUAUAUACACACACAACACAAACACACUG